UACGAAGGGGGCUAGCGUUGCUCGGAAUUACUGGGCGUAAAGCGCACGUAGGCGGAUUGUUAAGUCGGGGGUGAAAUCCUGGAGCUCAACUCCAGAACUGCCUUCGAUACUGGCGAUCUCGAGUUCGGGAGAGGUGAGUGGAACUGCGAGUGUAGAGGUGAAAUUCGUAGAUAUUCGCAAGAACACCAGUGGCGAAGGCGGCUCACUGGCCCGAUACUGACGCUGAUGCACGAAAGCGUGGGGAGCAAACAGG
RNAcentral lists this ribosomal RNA (253 nucleotides) under uncultured bacterium. RNAcentral describes it as "partial 16S ribosomal RNA". It matches the Rfam family "Bacterial small subunit ribosomal RNA", at positions 524 to 776 of the family's 1533-position model. The record is from RNAcentral.